RNAcentral lists this long non-coding RNA (600 nucleotides) under Homo sapiens (human). Its description in RNAcentral is "HSALNT0080054". The record is from RNAcentral. Lineage: Eukaryota; Metazoa; Chordata; Mammalia; Primates; Hominidae.
CAGUGUUCUAUGAGUCAUAUGGUUCAUCCUGAUUUAGGCUGUAAGCAGAUUGCAUCAUGGCGCGGAUACCAGGAGGUGGGGAUCAUGGGGGUCCAUCCUAGAGGCUGACCCAAGCAGAGGAAAGGAGAUAAUUACUGGAACAAUGUCUCCCCAUAGGCAUGUUUGUUAGGGACACAGAGGGAUCUUUGAUAGUAAUAGUAUAUAGGUGCAGUUAGAGGAGGUAGGAAGAUCUUGUUGCGCAAUCUCUAAGGAAAAGAGGUUUAUUUGGCUCACUGCUCUGUGGGCUGUACAAGAAGCAUGGCACCAGCAUCUGCUCCUGGUGAGAGGCUCAGGCUGCUUCCACUCAUGGCAGAAGCUUGCUCUGGCUAACAACCACUAUCAUCAAAGUUGUCUGAGGAAGACCUCCUGUUGCUGUGACUGACGGGACUCUUGGUGGAAGCCCUAUUCCCAUGUGCCCAUGGCUGCAGCUCCCCAAGGAAGCAGGACAUUGUUGGAUUCUCUAAGAAGCUCAGAGGAAGUUACUUCUCACUGUGGUGCCAUAUGGGAUUUGAAGUCGUUCUACUCAUGCUCUGUUUUUCAAUAAAGCUGCUUCUGCCUCUG